This 324-nucleotide ribosomal RNA is filed under the name uncultured bacterium. Its description in RNAcentral is "bacterial SSU rRNA". It matches the Rfam family "Bacterial small subunit ribosomal RNA", at positions 28 to 334 of the family's 1533-position model. The record is from RNAcentral.
GACGAACGCUGGCGGCGUGCUUAACACAUGCAAGUCGAACGGAGCACCCCUGAAGGAGUUUUCGGACAACGGAAGGGAAUGCUUAGUGGCGGACUGGUGAGUAACGCGUGAGGAACCUGCCUUUCAGAGGGGGACAACAGUUGGAAACGACUGCUAAUACCGCAUGAUGUAUCGGGGUCGCAUGGCACUGAUACCAAAGAUUUAUCGCUGAAAGAUGGCCUCGCGUCUGAGUAGCUAGUUGGUGAGGUAACGGCCCACCAAGGCGACGAUCAGUAGCCGGACUGAGAGGUUGACCGGCCACAUUGGGACUGAGAUACGGCCCAG